AAGCGCUUGCAACCAGACUCGCUCGUAGUUGCUCAGCCGGCCUCUUGGCCGGUGUACUCUUCUACGAUCGGGCCAGCAUCAGUUCGGGCGGCAGGAUAAAGGUGUCGGGAAUGUAGCACCCUUCGGGGUGCGUUAUAGCCCGGCGCGGAAUGCUGCCAGCCUGGACUGAGGAUCUCGCUUCGGCAAGGAUGCUGGCGUAAUGGU
This 204-nucleotide ribosomal RNA is filed under the name Phyllosticta capitalensis. Its description in RNAcentral is "partial large subunit ribosomal RNA". The record is from RNAcentral. Lineage: Eukaryota; Fungi; Ascomycota; Dothideomycetes; Botryosphaeriales; Phyllostictaceae.